RNAcentral lists this ribosomal RNA (254 nucleotides) under uncultured bacterium. RNAcentral's name for it is "partial 16S ribosomal RNA". It matches the Rfam family "Bacterial small subunit ribosomal RNA", at positions 524 to 776 of the family's 1533-position model. The record is from RNAcentral.
UACAGAGGGUGCGAGCGUUGUUCGGAAUUAUUGGGCGUAAAGGGCGCGUAGGCGGCGCGGUAAGUCACCUGUGAAAUCUCCUGGCUCAACUGGGAGCUUGCAGGCGAAACUGCCGUGCUGGAGUGUGGGAGAGGUGCGUGGAAUUCCCGGUGUAGCGGUGAAAUGCGUAGAUAUCGGGGAGGAACACCUGUGGCGAAAGCGGCGCACUGGACCACAACUGACGCUGAGGCGCGAAAGCUAGGGGAGCAAACAGG